Molecule: long non-coding RNA, 359 nt
Filed under: Mytilus galloprovincialis (Mediterranean mussel)
Lineage: Eukaryota; Metazoa; Mollusca; Bivalvia; Mytilida; Mytilidae
Source: RNAcentral
UGAGGUUUAAUUUUGAAGGAAAUACACUAUGGCCCUAGUAAUACAUGUAGUAAUGUAAAAAGAUUACUAAUAAUUUAUAAUUUUAUAAUUGCUGUCAUAUUUUUUAAAGUGCAAUUGAAUAUUUAUUGCAUGAUUUAUAUUCAUGUAAAAAGUUAGAAGAUACCCAGAGGGAUAAUCAACCACCAGUGCAUCAUUUACAUGUCACGGAACAAGGCAAAAAGAAGAAAAACAACGUCCUUCUCAGUUCAAAAAACACUACACAUAUUUUUGCUUUCUGAAUUCAUCUGAAUAAAAAAAAACUAUAUCUUUCUAGUAUCUUUUUCCAACCUUUAUGCUGACAGGUGUAGAAAAUUAACGGG